Molecule: ribosomal RNA, 855 nt
Filed under: uncultured bacterium
Lineage: Bacteria
Description: SSU rRNA
Rfam family: Bacterial small subunit ribosomal RNA
Source: RNAcentral
UACGGAGGGUCCAAGCGUUGUCCGGAUUUAUUGGGUGUAAAGGGUGUGUAGGCGGGCUUGCAAGUCAGAGGUGAAAGCCUACGGCUCAACCGUAGAAUUGCCUCUGAUACUGCAAGUCUUGAGUCUUGGAGAGGUUGUCGGAAUUCGUGGUGUAGCGGUGAAAUGCGUAGAUAUCACGAGGAACACCGGUUACGUAGGUGGGCAACUGGACAAGUACUGACGCUGAGGCACGAAAGCGUGGGGAGCAAACAGGAUUAGAUACCCUGGUAGUCCACGCCGUAAACGAUGGACACUCGGUGUCGCCGACUCGUCGGCGGUGCCUAAGCGAACGCAUUAAGUGUCCCACCUGGGGAGUACGAUCGCAAGGUUGAAACUCAAAGGAAUUGACGGGGGCCCGCACAAGCGGUGGAGCAUGUGGCUUAAUUCGAUGCAACGCGAGGAACCUUACCUGGGCUCGAACGCUAUCGGCUUUCCUCCGAAAGGGGGUUUUCCUUUUAGGACCGAUAGUGAGGUGCUGCAUGGCUGUCGUCAGUUCGUGUCGUGAGAUGUUGGGUUAAGUCCCGCAACGAACGCAACCCCUAUCGUUAGUUACCAGCGGGUCAUGCCGGGGACUCUAGCGAGACUGCCUGCGCAAGCAGUGAGGAAGGUGGGGAUGACGUCAAGUCAUCAUGGCCCUUAUGCCCAGGGCUGCACACGUGCUACAAUGGACGGUACAACGGGCAGCCACUCCGCGAGGAGGAGCGAAUCCAUAAAGCCGUCCUCAGUUCGGAUCGGAGUCUGCAACUCGACUCCGUGAAGUCGGAAUCGCUAGUAAUCGCGUAUCAGCAACGACGCGGUGAAUACGUUCCCGGGCCU